CACACUUAUGUCCACCUUAUUUAGUUCAACAGUUCAUUUCAAGAUGUCAGAUGCAUCAGAUUCUUUGCUUGAGAGGAAGUUUCGCAAAAAUGUUAGCGGAAAAAUUUUGAAUAGUGAAGCGCGACAAAUAAUCGUUAAUGUUUAUGAAAAAGUACGAGAAAAUAAUCCAACUAUUAGUUUAAAGGAUAUUGAACUCACUUCGCACUUCACUUCACAAUAUUGAACACCCCUUCACAUGCUUGUGCACGUGUAGAUGGACUUUCCCACUCACAUAUUUUUCUCCAAUCAGCACUCAUUUAGAGAGCA
This 306-nucleotide long non-coding RNA is filed under the name Androctonus crassicauda. The record is from RNAcentral. Lineage: Eukaryota; Metazoa; Arthropoda; Arachnida; Scorpiones; Buthidae.